This 549-nucleotide ribosomal RNA is filed under the name uncultured bacterium. RNAcentral describes it as "partial 16S ribosomal RNA". It matches the Rfam family "Bacterial small subunit ribosomal RNA", at positions 355 to 895 of the family's 1533-position model. The record is from RNAcentral.
UGGGGAAUUUUGGACAAUGGGCGAAAGCCUGAUCCAGCAAUGCCGCGUGUGUGAAGAAGGCCUUCGGGUUGUAAAGCACUUUUGUCCGGAAAGAAAGUCCUUGGCUCUAAUACAGUCGGGGGAUGACGGUACCGGAAGAAUAAGCACCGGCUAACUACGUGCCAGCAGCCGCGGUAAUACGUAGGGUGCAAGCGUUAAUCGGAAUUACUGGGCGUAAAGCGUGCGCAGGCGGUUUGCUAAGACCGAUGUGAAAUCCCCGGGCUCAACCUGGGAACUGCAUUGGUGACUGGCAGGCUAGAGUAUGGCAGAGGGGGGUAGAAUUCCACGUGUAGCAGUGAAAUGCGUAGAGAUGUGGAGGAAUACCGAUGGCGAAGGCAGCCCCCUGGGCCAAUACUGACGCUCAUGCACGAAAGCGUGGGGAGCAAACAGGAUUAGAUACCCUGGUAGUCCACGCCCUAAACGAUGUCAACUAGGUUGUUGGGGAUUCAUUUCCUUAGUAACGUAGCUAACGCGUGAAGUUGACCGCCUGGGGAGUACGGUCGCAAGAUU